CAGUCGCCGCGGUAAUACGUAGGUGGCAAGCGUUGUCCGGAAUUAUUGGGCGUAAAGCGCGCGCAGGCGGAUAGGUCAGUCUGUCUUAAAGGUUCGGGGCUUAACCCCGUGAUGGGAUGGAAACUGCCAAUCUAGAGUAUCGGAGCGGAAAGUGGAAUUCCUAGUGUAGCGGUGAAAUGCGUAGAUAUUAGGAAGAACACCAGUGGCGGAGGCGACUUUCUGGACGAAAACUGACGCUGAGGCGCGAAAGCCAGGGGAGCGAACGGGAUUAGAUACCCCGGUAGUCCCUGUCUCUUAUACA
RNAcentral lists this ribosomal RNA (301 nucleotides) under uncultured bacterium. RNAcentral describes it as "partial 16S ribosomal RNA". It matches the Rfam family "Bacterial small subunit ribosomal RNA", at positions 509 to 809 of the family's 1533-position model. The record is from RNAcentral.